Molecule: unclassified non-coding RNA, 594 nt
Filed under: Hevea brasiliensis (rubber tree)
Lineage: Eukaryota; Viridiplantae; Streptophyta; Magnoliopsida; Malpighiales; Euphorbiaceae
Source: RNAcentral
CAGUUGAGUAAAUAAUUAAUAUGAUAUAAAAUAUGAAUAAACAUUACUAAAAAUGAAAUUGGAAAUGAGUAGUGGAUAAAAGAAAAGGAAAAUGAAAUAAAAAGCAAUUUAUGACAUCUUGAUGAUGUCAUUUAAAAGCCAUAACCAAUCACAAUUAAGUAACCAUUUGACUAAUUAAUAAAAGAGAUAAAUAAAGACCAAGGAAGACCAAAAACAAGCAGCCAUCUUCUUCUUCAAAACGUGAUCCUCUCCUCCAUAACCCUCCAUGGAAGUUUUCUUUAAUUACUUCCAUUUUCCCAUGAAUUUGCACUAUAAAACCCUAAGUCCCUUCACUAAAAACUUGUCUCUACCUCUUGGGAAGUGUUUGGCAGCCUAGAAAGGGAAAGAAAGUGAAGAUUAACUUGGGAAAAUUCUGCCCUACAAGAGGUUAGUGCACAUAUACACCUAAAGCUCUUUAUUUCUAUGUUAAAGACUUGAAAUAAGUAAGGAAUUGUAAGUAAAAUGAAUAAAAACUAUGUGUAUGUAUGCCAUCAAUUUUGGCUGCCCUAAGGAAGGAACAAAGGUGGAGUGUUUUUGAUGGUUUUAAUGGACUUA